RNAcentral lists this transfer RNA (72 nucleotides) under Bos taurus (domestic cattle). It matches the Rfam family "tRNA". Rfam says of the family: Transfer RNA (tRNA) molecules are approximately 80 nucleotides in length. Their secondary structure includes four short double-helical elements and three loops (D, anti-codon, and T loops). Lineage: Eukaryota; Metazoa; Chordata; Mammalia; Artiodactyla; Bovidae. The record is from Rfam by way of RNAcentral. RNAcentral also lists the same sequence under 2 other names.
UCCCUUAUAGCUCAAUCGGUAAAGAAUCUGCCUGCAAUGCAAGAGACCCGGGUUCGAUUCCUGGGUCGGGAA